Molecule: RNA transcript, 4240 nt
Organism: Nothobranchius furzeri (turquoise killifish)
Lineage: Eukaryota; Metazoa; Chordata; Actinopteri; Cyprinodontiformes; Nothobranchiidae
Gene name: protein-tyrosine kinase 2-beta
Source: RefSeq, a predicted model, not a curated record
ACAGGAGGUGACACGAUGGUUUAAUCAGUCAUGUCAGCUUGUCUGUGGCUGCUCUUCAACUUCCUUAUUCGCCCGUCAGAACAUUUCCUCUUUUGGUGGCUGGUGUUGUUCAUCUUCAGCCUUCUGAAUCGGGUCUUUCUGCUCUUCUGAGCUGAACAAACAUCCCAAACCUGCAGGUUUCUGGGGGAAUGUGAGAGUUGAAGCUGAUAGGACUGCGUUGUGUUGAGUCUUAAAGGCUUGAGAGGAUUUCUGAGCCGCAGAGCAUCAAAACUCUGGUGAAAUGUUAUGAAGGGAAAGGAAGCUUCGGACCGAAAAACUGACAGCCUCUCUGCAGUAGUGUGUGUGUGUGUGUGUGUGUGAGUGAGAGAUGUCGGCUGACAUCAGAACUUCGAGGAGCAUGUCUCUAAUCGGCCGGUCAGAUUCCAUAAAUGUGCCUCCCAUGGCAACCGUUGGGAAGGUGGACAUCUGCCAAGUGAGGAUCAUCAAAGUUUGUUUCCUUAGCAACAGCUCCAACCUGGGUAAGAACUUCAAACUGGUCCGCUGUGAGGACGGCUGGACGAUCAAGAAUGUGAUCAGCACUGUGCUGUCCAGCGGCUGCGUGGGGCCAGGGAUCACACACAGCCUCUGCUACGGCCUCCUCCUCAAACACCUCAAGUCUUCAGAGAUGUACUGGCUGCACCCGGACCUGACUGUGUCCGAACUCACCCAGCGCUACGUGCAGCAGCACCUGGAGGCUGAGUGGAGGUAUGACCUGAGAAUCAGAUACAUCCCAUCUAAUUUUAUGGAGGCGUUCCAAGACGACAGAACCACCAUUCUCUACUUUUACCAACAGAUACGAAGUGAUUAUAUGCAACAAUACGCCUCCAAAGUCAGCGAUGGGAUGGCCUUACAGCUUGGAUGUCUGGAGAUUAGGAGAUUCUACAAAGACAUGAACCCUAAUGGGCUGGAGAAAAAGUCUAACUUUGAACUGCUAGAGAAGGACGUAGGGCUGGACCUGUUCUUCCCCAGAGAGCUCAUCGGCAGCAUGAAGACCAAACGGCUGCGUGGGCUGAUCCAGCAGACCUUUCAGGGCUACUCCACCCUCCAGCAGGACCAGUGCAUGGUCAAGUUCUUCACCACUCUGGCUCAGUGCUACAACUUCACACACGAGAGAUUCGCUUGUCAGCUCAUGCACAGCUGGAAUCUCGCCAUAGACCUGGUCAUCGGAGCUGACGGGAUCAGUCAGCAAACUGAAAACUCAAAGCCCACAUAUCUGGCUAAGUUCUCUCAGGUGUGCAGCAUCGCCUGCUCUGCAGAAAGCGAUGGCCGGGCUGUUCUCACCGUGCACAUCAAGGGGACCAAACAACCUCUCGAGGUCAACACGUCCUCUCUGGCUGUAGCAGAAAGCAUGGCCGACCUGAUCGACGGCUACUGUCGACUGGAAGGCUGCACGGUCAGUUCGCUCAUAACCAGAAACAACAAAGGUCGAGAUGUAAGGCAGAAACUUCCUGACAUACCACAGUGCACCGCCCUCGCUGGUCUUGACAGAGGCUUAGGUUCUGAUAUUUAUGCUGAGAUUCCAGAAAACUCAUCACUUUAUGAUGAUGAACAUGUUAUCGCCAGAGAUGACGUAGUGGUGGGUCGGAUCCUUGGUGAAGGAUUCUUCGGCGAGGUACACGAGGGCGUUUACAAAAGCCCGAGCGGCGAGAGGAUCCAUGUGGCCAUAAAGACGUGUAAAGAGUUUUCAGCCGAGGUGAAGGAGAAGUUCCUGAGUGAAGCCGAUCUGAUGAAGAACCUGGAUCAUCCUCACAUCGUACGUCUCAUCGGAGUCAUCACCGUGGAUCCGGUUUGGAUUGUCAUGGAGCUUUAUAAACUCGGAGAGCUGGGGGACUACCUUGUGGAGCAUCAGUACGUCCUGAAGACGGGAAAAUUAACUCAGUUCUGUCUCCAAAUCUGCAAAGCCCUGGCUUACCUGGAGGGACUCAACAUGGUGCACAGAGAUAUAGCUGUAAGAAACAUUCUGGUGGCUUCUCCUGAAAGCGUGAAGCUCGGUGACUUUGGCCUGUCUCGAUAUGUUGAUGAUCAAGAGUAUUACAAAGCCUCAGUCAGUCGAUUACCGAUCAAAUGGAUGGCACCAGAAUCCAUCAACUUUAGACGCUUCACAACAGCCAGCGACGUCUGGAUGUUUGGUGUGUGUGUUUGGGAGAUCUUCUCGGUGGCCCAGCAGCCAUUCUCCUGGCUGGAGAAUGGACAGGUGAUCAACCAGCUGGAGUCAGGUGUUCGUCUGUACAAACCGCAGAGCUGCCCACCCACCAUCUACUCCCUGCUCACCCGCUGCUGGGCCUACGAACCGCAGGGACGUCCCACCUUCAGGGACCUCGUCUGCUCCUUCAGUGAGAUCCACAGGAUGGAGUUGGAGCGGGAAACCAAUAAACGACAAGAAAGACCCCGCUCCCUUUUCAGCUGCGACCACUUGGAUCCUCCCCCAAAGCCCUCCAGAGGUCCUACCAACACCCUCCUGCACAGACAGAGCUGGGGGACAGAGAAAGUGGAGGACACUUUACUAAGACAAAGAAAGGAGAUGCUGAUGGACAGAAAGUGGCUGGAGCAGGAGGAGGGACAGCUGAACCCUGCUGUGCGGCUGGAUACACCACAGAAGAAGCCUCCGGAGAACAGCCCAGAAAAUGAUCCCCCAGAGAAACCCCCAAUGCCUGCUUUAGUCUCACAGCCUCGACCCACGGCUGAACUGGACCGGUCUGGUGAUGAGGUCUACACCAACGUCAUGGCGAUGGUGAAGCAGGUGGUCCAGCUGAAGAACGAUGUCAGCUCCAUGCCUGCUUCUGAGUAUCCCAGCGCCGUUAAGUCCGUGGGAAUCACACUCCGCAGCCUGAUCCAGAGCGUAGACACGAUCCUGCCCUCUCUGCACAGCUCCGUCACCACCGAGAUCGAAGGCACUAAAAAGCUGCUGAACAACGAUUUAGGGGAGCUGAUCAAUAAGAUGCGACUGGCCCAGCAGAACUCUGUGACCUCGCUGAAGGAGGAAUGUCAGAAGCAGAUGUUGGCAGCUGCACACACACUCGCCCUGGACUCCAAAAGCCUGCUGGAUGCUGUGGAUCAGGCUCGAGUCCGGGCCAACCUGGCCAAACCCAGACCCGCCUCACAAGAGCCCAGAGACUAGAACAGGACGUGUGGAGGAACUUGUCUCAGGUGUAAAAGGAUAACGUCUCGCAUUAUGUGAAAUGUUUUUUUAGUAACAACCAGGAAGUGGUGCACAGAACUGUCCCGUAUAGAGCUGCAGUUCAAGGAGGAUGUCAGAAGCAGAUGUUGGCAGCCGCUCACACAAUCGCCCUGGACGGCAAAACAUGAGCCGCUUUGUUACACAAAACAAAGUAGCAGCAUAAAGCUGAAAUAGCAUAAACUGCUAAUGUCCAGCUUUAUUUUAUCAACAUGAGCAUGAAAUGAAGGGAAGUUUUAGAGUGUUUUUUAAAUAAAGAAAAGCAUGUUUCGAGAACGGUGCCCUGUGGGACGACUGUGUCCUUUCAGGACUACAAACUGAAGAGAGAGCGGGUGUGUCGGGGAUUUCCGCUCUCCUCAUGUCCAGAGGAAUUUCUGCAUGUAACUCCAACCAGACCAGUUCACUCAUCACAGUCAGAUGAUUUUUAACCCAUCAUGUCCUGUAAAACAGUCAAAGUUUAGAGUGAUGAUGAAAAAUGAGUCGUUUGGAAUAAAAACCUGCAGGUUUAUCCUCUCAGGUGCCACGAGAGCCUCUCGCAGAGACAUUUAAAUAGGAAAGAAUCCAAUCAGCUGAUCACACACACACACACACACACACACACACACACUCAGGGUUUAGAAAAAGCAGGUUGCAACGUUUGCCUUGAAGCUGAUUCCAGUCUCUCUGCAGAUGUUUGCAACGUAUUUCAGUCGAAUCCAGGUGUUUGGUUGUGUUACAACAACAGUCAUGGUAACCAGGUGAGCGUUAUCGUGCACAUCCACGUGCACGUACCGAUUAAAUCAGCACAGAGUGGUUGUGGCAGCGUUUGGUCCAGCCAGAGUUGCACGAGAGAUUAGAAGAACAUCCCAUCUAUGUAAUUAUUAUUUUUCGGGAGGGGAGCUUCUGCGUACCUACAGCCCAACGUCUCUACACCCAGUCCAGGCGGAGCUUCCUGUCUGCACAUACGAGCUGUGUUUUCUAGCCGCUCCUCAGAGAUCGGAUCAGCUGCAGCCUCAGACCUCACAACUCACCUGUUGAGAGUCCAGG